UACGUAGGGAGCAAGCGUUGUCCGGAAUCAUUGGGCGUAAAGCGCGCGUAGGCGGCCUCAUAAGUCCGUUGUGAAAGUCAAAGGCUCAACCUUUGAAAGCCGAUGGAUACUGUGAGGCUAGAGUCCGGAAGAGGCGAGUGGAAUUCCUGGUGUAGCGGUGGAAUGCGCAGAUAUCAGGAGGAACACCAAUAGCGAAGGCAGCUCGCUGGGACGGUACUGACGCUAAGGCGCGAAAGCGUGGGGAGCGAACAGG
Molecule: ribosomal RNA, 253 nt
Filed under: uncultured bacterium
Lineage: Bacteria
Also listed under: 2 other names
Description: partial 16S ribosomal RNA
Rfam family: Bacterial small subunit ribosomal RNA
Source: RNAcentral